RNAcentral lists this unclassified non-coding RNA (758 nucleotides) under Hevea brasiliensis (rubber tree). The record is from RNAcentral. Lineage: Eukaryota; Viridiplantae; Streptophyta; Magnoliopsida; Malpighiales; Euphorbiaceae.
AUCCAAUCCAACCUGAUUCACACAGUUUUCAUAUCCCAAAGUAUAACAUUAGAGCACAUUAACAUUAGAGCACAUUAGGCUAGAUCUUCAAACACUAUGACAGGAUUCAAUAAUCCUAUGCCAUGAUAUGAAGAUGAUUUUAGAUCACAUAAACCAAGACUACAAAACUAUGAAUCACCAAUUUGCCAUUCCACAAAUUUAACAGUAUCAUGUGCACGCAUGUUCAGACACAAGUAAACAUUCAAUUAUUCAAAUCAUCAAGCCACCACAGUCAAAUGUACAUGCAUGCAUGCCAAGAUGAAAAGACACAGCCCCAAGAACCCCACGGGCAGGACAAUUAACUGGCUUGAACAGAAUAUAUUUAAUCUUUCCUCUUUUUCAAUUGGGCUCAAACAUCAUUCUUUGUUUUUUUGAUAGAGUCGAACAUCAUCAUGCAUUAUUAAUUGGCUUCCAGACAUUGGGAAUUUAUGCAUCAUAAUCAGUAUAAUUCUAGUCUUCUCUCUCUCUCUCUGAUUCUUCUCUUUUAGGAUCAUAAAAAGAACUAGAAAACACCCAAAGUUUACUCUUUUUCUUCACAAUCUUUUUGGAAGAAGAUCAGUGUUUUGUCAAAACUCCCAAGAGUUAAAUUCCUUAGGCUGCCCAUGGCUGUCUUUUGCAAAAAUUCUUACCUCAAAUACAUUAAUUUGAUUCCCAAACCAAAAUAGGAUAAGAAAAAAUCUGCAAUUUUAAGGAUAUAUAAACGGCAAAAAAUUGAAAAG